This 514-nucleotide ribosomal RNA is filed under the name uncultured bacterium. RNAcentral's name for it is "partial 16S ribosomal RNA". It matches the Rfam family "Bacterial small subunit ribosomal RNA", at positions 28 to 523 of the family's 1533-position model. The record is from RNAcentral.
GACGAACGCUGGCGGCGUGCCUAAUACAUGCAAGUCGAACGCUUCCUACCGGUGCUUGCACCGGGAAAGAAGAGUGGCGGACGGGUGAGUAACACGUGGGUAACCUACCUACAAGCGGGGGAUAACAUUCGGAAACGGAUGCUAAUACCGCAUAGAUCUUUUUGUCUCCUGACAGAAAGAAGAAAGACGGUUUCGGCUGUCACUUGUAGAUGGACCCGCGGCGCAUUAGUUUGUUGGUGAGGUAAUGGCUCACCAAGACGAUGAUGCGUAGCCGACCUGAGAGGGUGAUCGGCCACACUGGGACUGAGACACGGCCCAGACUCCUACGGGAGGCAGCAGUAGGGAAUCUUCCGCAAUGGACGAAAGUCUGACGGAGCAACGCCGCGUGAGUGAAGAAGGUUUUCGGAUCGUAAAACUCUGUUGUUAGAGAAGAACAAGGAUGAGAGAAAUGCUCGUACCUUGACGGUACCUUACGAGAAAGCCACGGCUAACUACGUGCCAGCCGCCGCAGUAA